GGCUUUUGUAGAAAGUGAUACAGUUCUUAUUUCUCCUGGUCUGCUCUCAGGUCGUGCUGCUGUUGUGCAUCUGAGUGCCAGUGCUAGAAAUGAAAAGGUUCAAAGAAUUGUGACACCAAGGAAAGGCCCAAAGCUGCACUCUGCUCCUGACAGUUUCUCUUCACAGCACCAUUUUCCUCUGAGCAUGUUCCAGUGUCUCUGCACUCCCUGCCCACUGCAGCAGCUGGGGCCAGCCAAAGCAGGCUCGCCUAGCCUGGUGUUCCUGCUGGGAGCUUCUCACAGCACGAGCAACCUCCUCUCCCGCACAUCACAGGUGUUCUCCACAUGAUGGGAGCAGGUGUGCAGGGCCAGGCAGCAAAGCCUUUUGGGAACGUGCUCAGAGUCACACCAAGGAUCUGCUGGGCAAAGAGGAGCACCAACAGAUUCAGCAUUGCCUGUGGUUCCCUUGUUCCCUGCAUCCCUUCCCAGCAAAGACACGGCGUGGCAGAGCCCUGACCCCAGGUGUUGGCUCCCCUCUGCAAUCGUGCCUGAUUGAGCAUUACCAGGAAAUGCAGAAAUGUGGAGCCAGACUGGUACUGAGCAGUACAAGACUGAAGAUCUUUCUGUUAGUGGGUCUCACUCAGCACCAUCAGCUGAUAUCGCUUAAAGAGGUGCCGAUUCGCUGCAAAGCACAGGUGGAGAUAAAAAGGCUUUCUCUGGGAGCCAAGCAGCACGGAGGAGCUGGAGCCUUGGCAGGAGCAGGAGGUGCCCCAAGCAGCUCUGCAAGGAGUGAGUGCCCUCACUGCUCUGUCACCAGCAGUCCCUGGGAGCCAUCAGCACCCACCAGCCAUUCCCUGAGAUAAGGCCAAGCCAGCUGGGAGGAGAAUGCCUUUGAUAUUCUUGCCUUGCUGAGUUCACUCAUAUUGUAAUUUGCAAAUGGCAUGGCAAAUGUCACGAGAGCAGCUGGUGAAGAUGACUCAGAAGCAAUGACAAGAAUGUGCUGCAAAGUUGGGUCCAGCAGUUCAGCUUCCCGACAUGGUAGGGCAGACACACCUUUUGAUAAAGCAUCAAACACUGUAGUUUUUACUCUUUGUGUUUGUCUGAUGACCCCUUGAAGUAUUAUUUUUCAAAAUGAUAUCUAGGAGAGAAAUCAUGUUUAUUCAGGGGGAGCCAUAAUUUUCAUCUGUUCCAAAUGCACCAGGUGUGUUUUAAGCCCUGCACAUACGGCAAGAGCUGCAGAGUUUGUAGUGCAGUUUACUGCAGCACUGAUUUAUUCUGUAUUCCAGUAACCAUUCCCUGGGGUGCCAGCUAGGCUCAAUACCAGGAGCAGGAGAAGCAGACCCGAGAGAUGCUUUGGGCGGAGCCCAGCCAGGUUUCAGGCAGCCUGCAAAGUCUGCCCUUGCAGUACACACCAGUCUGCUGUUGCCAUCUGCUGGAAAAAUCCCUAAUGGAUAUUUCCAAACGUGGGGAGGAGUGUCUGUUCCUGUCACAGAACUGCUGGGGGCUCUUUGCCCUCUAGCUCCGUGCGAUCUGCCCAAGAACAGCGUGUGCACCAGGCUGUUACCGCUCUCUGCAGGGUGAAGCACCUUCAGCCAAGGUCAGUGCAAGAGCAAAACAAUCCUGCCAACAAAACCUGCUACUAGAGAGGCAAACAUUUAUCCUUCCAAAAUAAUUCAUCCUUCUUCUCCCUUACAACUCUUCUGUUUCAUCACCCCACAGAAUGGUUUGGGAUGGAAGAGGCCUUGAAAACGACCUAGUUCCACCCCUGUCCUGGGCAGGGUCACCUUCCUCUCGGCCAGGAUGCUGUGCUGUCACAGAUCAGGUGACAGAUCUGUGGAAAUUGUAAUGAUAUUAUUAAGGUGUGUCUCUUAGUGCCUUGCCAUUCGUGAAGCCCGAGGCUUCACUUGUCCUAGUUUAGCUUUCUGAUGUGGAGGAGCUGAACUGCCAGCUGAUAUGGAAUUUGGUGCUCUCUGUGGAGUGACAUCCUGUAAAAUUUCUGUCCCAGAAAUUCUGUCAUGAUGGCUCUGCUCCAUAAAGAAUGAAACGGCCUGACUGUCAGCAAUUUUUACUUCUGCAAUAGUGUAAAAGUGCUAAAAUUUGAGCACUGCUUAUUAUUUUAAAAUAAAAUAUUUUAAAACUUGAAGUGAUAGCUAAAA
Junco hyemalis (dark-eyed junco) is the source of this 2135-nucleotide long non-coding RNA. NCBI's taxonomy places the organism in Eukaryota, Metazoa, Chordata, Aves, Passeriformes, Passerellidae. The record is from Ensembl.